Long non-coding RNA from Ictalurus punctatus (channel catfish), 2775 nucleotides. NCBI's taxonomy places the organism in Eukaryota, Metazoa, Chordata, Actinopteri, Siluriformes, Ictaluridae. The record is from Ensembl.
CCGAUGGUGACAUGCAUGGUCAUGGCACAGUAAAGCAUUAGUUUCAUGUCCCCACUGGGGCUCUGUACUACUCCAGUGCAAAAUUUUGUAAUGAUUUUGAGAUCACACUCCUUUUUCGUUUUGCUUUUUUUUUUUUUUUUUUUUUAAUAUAUAUAUAUAUAUAUAUAUAUAUAUAAAGGUAAAUAAACUGCUGUUCAGAUUUCCAGCGUCCAUACACCAGAUCCUUAGUGACCAGUUUUAUGGGUGGUUCACUUCAGGGCACUUUAAAUAACAUCUUUUCUUGGGCAUUAUGACAAUAUUCAGACUAACUUUACAUUAGUCUGUAUGCAUUUCCCAGUUUUUAUUGGAACUGGGAGUGAAAUCUCAGACUUGCUGGCUAGUUUUUGAACACAGAGUCAGUCUCGCGUAUCAAUCUGAAUAAUCUCACUCCGAGAUCUGUGUAUCAGCGGUCAGGCGGAAGAUGCUGGAAAGGUGAGAAGCAUGGAUAAGAAAUGUAGGGGCUGAAUGAGCAGAAAAAUAGAAAAGAUGUUAAGGUCUUCACUCUUUUGACCUGAUUAGCAUGCUAAUGAUUAUGCUAGGUGGUAGAUAUUUGGUAGAACUACAGCUGUGUGUUAAGGCCGAAGGAAGUAGAAAGUAAGACAUGGGUGUAUGUAUAAUCAAAGCAAGGUCCAGGUAGCAAGCCUGUCAGAAAGCCUGGCCAUCCAGGAGGGAAGAUAAAGCAGGACAGAAUGAGGCCCAGGAAUCUGAGUGCAGGAUUCUGAGAGAGAGGUUCUCAAGCACAGAGCGUACAGAGUGCUGCUGACGGACAGUCAGAGUGACGGCCUGCUCGGGGAAUGGCACUAAUGAGGCUCAGGCAGUGCAAAGCCGUGAGAAUGGGCCUGGAGAUGAUAAGGAAUGUCGUAACUCGAUUUACACCGUAGCGCUGUUGAAUUCUCAGUUCUGAUUGGACAGGAGGUGUUGAUUCAUAUUCUGCUUUAACAGCCGCAGUGGAAGCAGUCAGUAGUGUUCUCUGCAAGGCAAAUCGCAGCUUUCUAUUAAUGCGCUUGUUCUCAUACAUUAUCCUUUCCAUAGCAGCGACUUGCGCAAGGACAAAAACGUGUAAUCGUUUGAAGAUUUCUGGAAGGAGAUUUUUAUUUCUCACUCUGAAAGGCGUCUCCGCUGUCAGUACUUUGCAGCGAUCAGACGUAAAGCUGUGCCUUAACAUGUUCCGACACUGGAAAGUCUUCAGGAUGAAGGACUUUGCGUUUUCUCAGUACCAUAUGUUUUGGGGUUUUGUUUGUUUGUUUGUUUGUUUGUUUGUUUGUUUGUUCAGUUCAUUUUAAGAGAGGGGAAAAAAAGGACAGAGGAACUGUUUAUAGCUGCUAUAACAUAAGAAAAUAACACAGGGAACUAACUUAUUUUCCAGAUGUUCCAGAAUAUGACAUGCAUAAAUGGACAAAAUGUACACGUUGUUCUUUAGUUAAAAAAAAAACUGUUUGUAAACAUUUGCUUUUGCAGAACUUUGCUUUUGCUUUGCGCCCUACAGCCCACUACCCUGUCACUGAUUAUUUUCCGAUAACGGCAUGCGUCCAGAUGUUUUACCCCUAACAUAAAGCUCAGCCUGACAUCAGUCUGGCUCGCACGAUCCUCUGGAAGCACAGUCUUUCACAUCGAACAAAUCCUCCUCUUCAAGACCUUUUGACCACGUCAGAAGGUCUCCACUCGACUUUCUCCCACUCCCAGUGCAUCGACGUUAUAGAAUACUUUUCCGCCGUUCUAUCAGGGACAUCAUGCAAUAUUUAGUCGUUUCAAUACGGUUAGAAUGAAUACCGAGAUGAUUCAUGGAUGAGGCGAUGAGCAAUUGCAGAAAGAAAAGGUUUAGAAAAGAAUUGUCGGUCAGAAUGAUGAAAAGCAUUACGUGGGUGUCCUGUUUGAGUGAUGGACUCAUUCUUCUGUUCAAACUGUCCUUCACGAUAAUGGACCGCUCUUACGUUUCAUUUCACCUGUGAGUCAGCCUUUUGCUGUACUAAUGCUGUGUGCCUUCGCUGUACGUGCCACUGGGUCAUAAAGUGUAAAGUAACAUUAUUGUAUGAAUAUUUUAUGAUACUCAAAUGUAUAUGUGCUUGGAGGGAGGGGAGGGGAGGGGGUGGAGGGGGGGGGGUCGAAUCAACUAAAAGCUAAAAAAUAAUAUUUCUGCUUUAGUCCGAUUUGAAGAUGAUUUUUUUUUUUUUUUUUUUUGCGAUCAGAAUGUAUUAAAAAGAAAAGAAUAAUUAUUGUCGUUUCUUUGUGUUUUAAACUGUCACAUAUCUUACUUUAUAAUGCUCACUUUAUCAUGAUAAACGAUUGAAGGAAACUGUUGAAGGAACAUUGUGUUUAUGAAGGUUUUAUGAGCGCACUAAAAGCAAAAAAAAAAUAAUAAUAAAAAUAAGUAUAAGACCUCAAAUAUUACAGAUUUUGUAUUAAAGCCAUUUUUCAGAAUGAAGCCUCGGUGUGUUUCUUCUCGAUGCAGUAAAUGCUUCCGUCUGUUUGGAUGACACAAUCUGACAGCUACAUCAAACAUGUUGUGUUUUUUAAAGAUUGCGACAUGUUCAAUUGAUCAGGGUGAAACCAGGCUUGUGUUAUAAUAUCGUUUAAUACGUUUAAUCCCACUCUCGCCAUCUGUGUUCUCGUUACAGAUGUGAAGCUGGUUUUAAAUAGCUUUCGGCAGAUGUUACGUUUAUCUUGUUUGUCUCUGGAGCCAGGACGUUUAUUUUAGAAAGUUGUAUGAAUAAUUGUCCUCCGUUCACUGACUGUGAU